RNAcentral lists this ribosomal RNA (774 nucleotides) under uncultured bacterium. RNAcentral's name for it is "bacterial SSU rRNA". It matches the Rfam family "Bacterial small subunit ribosomal RNA", at positions 8 to 796 of the family's 1533-position model. The record is from RNAcentral.
AGAGUUUGAUCCUGGCUCAGGACGAACGCUGGCGGCGUGCUUAACACAUGCAAGUCGAACGGUGAACCCGCUUCGGUGGGGGAUCAGUGGCGAACGGGUGAGUAACACGUGGGCAACCUGCCCUCAGCUCUGGGAUAACUCCAAGAAAUUGGGGCUAAUACCGGAUAUGACCGCUGACCGCAUGGUCUGGUGGUGGAAAGAUUUAUCGGCUGGGGAUGGGCCCGCGGCCUAUCAGCUUGUUGGUGGGGUAGUGGCCUACCAAGGCGACGACGGGUAGCCGGCCUGAGAGGGUGACCGGCCACACUGGGACUGAGACACGGCCCAGACUCCUACGGGAGGCAGCAGUGGGGAAUAUUGCGCAAUGGGCGAAAGCCUGACGCAGCGACGCCGCGUGGGGGAUGACGGCCUUCGGGUUGUAAACCUCUUUCAGCAGGGACAAAGCGAAAGUGACGGUACCUGCAGAAGAAGCACCGGCCAACUACGUGCCAGCAGCCGCGGUAAUACGUAGGGUGCAAGCGUUGUCCGGAAUUAUUGGGCGUAAAGAGCUCGUAGGCGGUUCGUCGCGUCGGCUGUGAAAACCUGAGGCUCAACCUCAGGCCUGCAGUCGAUACGGGCGGACUUGAGUACUGCAGGGGAGACUGGAAUUCCUGGUGUAGCGGUGAAAUGCGCAGAUAUCAGGAGGAACACCGGUGGCGAAGGCGGGUCUCUGGGCAGUAACUGACGCUGAGGAGCGAAAGCGUGGGGAGCGAACAGGAUUAGAUACCCUAGUAGUCC